Molecule: ribosomal RNA, 492 nt
Filed under: uncultured soil bacterium
Lineage: Bacteria
Description: bacterial SSU rRNA
Rfam family: Bacterial small subunit ribosomal RNA
Source: RNAcentral
AGAGUUUGAUCCUGGCUCAGGAUGAACGCUAGCGGCAGGCCUAAUACAUGCAAGUCGAGGGGUAACAGGGUAGCAAUACUGCUGACGACCGGCGCACGGGUGCGUAACGCGUAUGCAACUUACCUUCAACUGGAAGAUAGCCCCUCGAAAGAGGGAUUAAUAUUCCAUAGUAUUACGAGAUGGCAUCAUUUUGUAAUUAAAGCUCCGGCGGUUGAAGAUGGGCAUGCGUGACAUUAGCUAGUUGGUGAGGUAACGGCUCACCAAGGCUACGAUGUCUAGGGGAUCUGAGAGGACUAACCCCCACACUGGUACUGAGACACGGACCAGACUCCUACGGGAGGCAGCAGUAAGGAAUAUUGGUCAAUGGAGGCAACUCUGAACCAGCCAUGCCGCGUGCAGGAUGACGGCCCUAUGGGUUGUAAACUGCUUUUAUACGGGAAGAAAACGCUCUACGUGUAGAGCACUGACGGUACCGUAAGAAAUAAGGAUCCU